CGUAGCCAAAAUGUCGAGUGAACUGUGAACCUCUCGAGUUAUCCCAAGUCGCGAACGACACGAUGGCGCUUAGCCACCUCCGCCAUGCGCCGCUCGCUCUCCGCCUCGCGCUCCCGUCCAUCGCCUGCUCCUCUCCCGCCACCCGCCGCCUCUUACUCUUUGCGCCGGCUCGCCCGUGGCGCCUCCUCUCUACCGCCUCGAAGCCGCGCUCGCUCGCCACCUCCGCCGCCGCCGAGGCCGACAACACCAGCGUGGGCACCGACGGCUUCUUCGCCGAGGACAGCACGUCCUGGAAGUCCCUCGGCAUCUCCGACCGCCUCGCGUCCGCCUUGCACGGCACUGGGCUCGAGAGACCCUCGCUGGUCCAGGCAGCUUGUAUACCACAUGUUCUUACGGCGAACGAUGUAAUUGUUGCGGCAGAGACUGGCAGUGGCAAAACACAUGGUUACCUGGUUCCACUGAUUGAAAAACUGUGCACCAAAUCUUCCUCCACAGAAGAUGGUGAUUCUGAAAACAUUGCUGUGAGAACAGAUAACAUCGUGUUGGUUUUCUGUCCUAAUGUCAUGCUGUGUGAGCAAGUUGUUUCAAUGGCUAAUUCAUUACUGGAUGUAUCUGGUGAACCACUUAAGCGCGCUGUUGCAGUUUGUGGGCCAAAGGGUUGGCCUGCAGUUCGCCCAGAUAUUCUUGUAGCCACUCCAGCCGCUCUUUUGAAUUAUCUAUUCGAUUAUGACCCAGAGAGGAGGCGGAGGGAGAAGUUCCUACGCAGUGUAAAAUACAUCGUAUUUGAUGAGGCAGACAUGCUACUUUGCGGAAGUUUUGAAAAUCAGAUCAUUCGUCUCAUCCACAUGCUGCGGUUUGACGAGAAGUUACUUUCAAGGGCGGAAGAUUCUGGAAAAGAAGUACCGCUCGAAGGUUCUGAUGAAUAUCAUGAGGAUUCGGGUUCUGAGAGUGCUGAAGUUAGUGAUAUUGAUGAUGAAAAUGAAGAUGGUCAUAUUCAAGAUGGAGCAGUCAAGGCGAAGAAUGCUCAUGUAGGAGCACGCAGGGAUUGGAGAAGGGUUAGAAAAGUUUAUAGGCGCAGCAAGCAAUAUGUCUUUGUUGCUGCCACCCUCCCUCAGAGUGGAAAAAAGACUGCUGGUGGUGUGCUGAAACGUAUGUUUCCUAGUGCUGUGUGGGUUAGUGGUGCUUAUCUGCACCGUCACAACCCUAGACUGGAGAGAAGAUGGAUAGAGGUUACUACUGAUACACAAGUCGAUGCUCUUCUGGAUGCAGUAAAGUAUGGCCUGAAGAGUGAAGUUGACCCAGAACUUGGUCCAAAUCGAACUAUGGUGUUCACGAACACCGUCGACGCUGCUAAUUCAGUCUCUGACAUAUUGCGGAGAGUUGGUAUUCCAUGCGUUUUGUACCACCGUGAGAGCUCCCUGGAGGAAAGGACAGCCAAUUUACAAUCUUUCCGGGAGAAUGGUGGCGUGCUCGUCUGUACUGAUGCUGCCGCUCGUGGGCUUGACGUGCCAAAUGUAUCACAUGUUAUUCAGGUACCGUUCGACCUCGCCUCUUGAAAUGUCUGCAUGUCUGGCGCUGCACAGCUGUUGCCUGUCUGUCACAGGCGGAGUUUGCUGCUUGCGCUGUCGACUUUUUGCACAGGGUGGGUCGCACAGCUAGAGCUGGCCAAUCUGGAAUAGUGACUAGCCUAUAUACAGAUGCAAACCGUGAUCUCGUGAGAGCAGUUCGUCAAGCGGAGGAGCUGGCCCAGCCAGUGGAGAGGGCGUUCAGUAGAAAAAGAAGUUUCCGCAACAAGUUGAAGAAACAAGCUCGACUGCGCGAACCUGCAACGUUGCUGUCUUGAUUUAUGACUUUUCUCGCCUUUGAUGUGUAGAAACAAGGAGUUACUCACAGUCUUGUGUUUUUCUAGUGGCCUAGUUCUGCCAUUUCAUUUUGUACUGUUAUAAGAUUCAAGACAUGUUCAAGUGCAAUUUUCUUUUCUCAA
Molecule: RNA transcript, 1984 nt
Organism: Triticum aestivum (bread wheat)
Lineage: Eukaryota; Viridiplantae; Streptophyta; Magnoliopsida; Poales; Poaceae
Gene name: DEAD-box ATP-dependent RNA helicase 22
Exons: 7
Source: RefSeq, a predicted model, not a curated record